UCUCUGCAACAGUAAAAGCAUUCAAACUGCAUUCAGUAAUGGAACACCUACCCGGUGGUUUUGAUGGAUGCUGAUAGCUUCCAAUACAAUCUUAAAGCAUGGAGUUUUUUUAGUACAAAUAGUAGGCUACCAACAGCAACCGAAAUCAUACUGGUAAAACAUUUCCAGGUACCUUGUCAGUCAUCUGGUUGAGUGGGAGCUGAAUGUUUGAUAUUAUCUGUAAAUGAAUGGGAUAUAAUAUUAGAUUCUGAGAAUUCAUAAGAAUAAGUGUAUAUCAGAUUUCUUCAACUCAAGUCUGCCAUGAGGAGCAGAAAAACUGCUAAAUAAGUUGGAAUUUGCUACUUAAAGGGGCCUUCAUUAGGUCUGUUCAACUUUCAGGAUUUGUGCUUUAUCUUUGGGGAUCUCUAGAGCUUCUUAUCAUGAACUCAAAUCCAUGUGGUAGCAAUACUUGUACAAGUGCAGGUAUCUAGAACUUACUGCACUUGAAUCUUUGAAAUUUAUAAUAUCUUCCUUGCCCUAAGAUACGAGUACAUAAGAAAAAAUGCCACAACAGCACCAACAAUUAUCCCAGCUGUUGUUAGCCAAAAGGCAAACUGCAUCAAUCCAAACAAGAGGGUAAAAAUAUAUUAAUAACAGUGAUAUAACCUCUCUGAUGGUCAUGGCAACAAGAUUGAGAAGUUAGCAGAACAGGUAAGGAAGGAACAAUAUUAAAGACUUAACAUACCGC
RNAcentral lists this long non-coding RNA (727 nucleotides) under Vitis vinifera (wine grape). Its description in RNAcentral is "long non-coding RNA (VVIN_LNC001950)". Lineage: Eukaryota; Viridiplantae; Streptophyta; Magnoliopsida; Vitales; Vitaceae. The record is from RNAcentral.